RNAcentral lists this long non-coding RNA (540 nucleotides) under Homo sapiens (human). Its description in RNAcentral is "non-protein coding lnc-GOLGA8A-6:3". The record is from RNAcentral. Lineage: Eukaryota; Metazoa; Chordata; Mammalia; Primates; Hominidae.
AUUAGCAGUCGCGGUGUGCCGCUACGUGCGGGCUCUCAAGGAGCUCAGCCUCCCGGACGGAGCCGGCGGCUGCGGGGCGAGGACGGCGGCGGACCGGGGCAGCCCCGCGCCCUGGCCAGGUGGAGGGAGCUGUUCAUCCUCUGGGGGCUGCUGGGCAAGAAACAUUUCUUACCUGAUAAUGUGAAGCGUCAGAGGUCCCUGUUUUAUGGCUCUACUGAGAUGAAGAAAGAAAAAGAAUACCUGCUCAGCUCCAGAGACACGUAAAGGGACAGAGAUUGGGGGACAGAAGGAAGUGCAUUAAUUCCUUCCACGACCCCUGAAGAGCAGCGGUGGGUCUGAGCAUCCUAUCUCCAGGAAGCAGGCCAGCAGGCAAGCCAGCUGCCACCUCGUCCUGUGCAAAGCACAGGCACCGUCCCCAAAAGAUUUCCAAAGAUGAUGUUAAACCCAGCCACGGUUCUGAUCUCCAGGAAAGCAAUUGCUGUGGUACAAAAGGACAAGGGUUAAAAGAGAACAGUGGGAGCUCUCUUUCCCAACUAACUC